CAUACCUAUUCGAAGGGAUAGGGUCGGUUCGGCCGGGUUUCACACAGGUGUUGCAUGGCUGUCGUCAGCUCGUGUCGUGAGAUGUUGGGUUAAGUCCCGCAACGAGCGCAACCCUCAUCCUUAGUUACCAUCAGGUAAUGCUGGGGACUUUGAGGAAACUGCCAGUGAUAAACUGGAGGAAGGUGGGGAUGAUGUCAAGUCAUCAUGGCCCCUAUGGAGUGGGCUACACACGUGCUACAAUAGUGGCUACAAUGGGCUGCAAAGUCGCGAGGCUAAGCCAAUCCCUUAAAAGCCAUCUCAGUUCGGAUUGUACUCUGCAACUCGAGUGCAUGAAGUUGGAAUCGCUAGUAAUCGUGGAUCAGCAUGCCACGGUGAAUACGUUCUCGGGUCUUGUACACACUGCCCGUCACGCCAUGGGAAUUGGUUUCACUCGAAGCU
RNAcentral lists this ribosomal RNA (438 nucleotides) under Wolbachia pipientis. RNAcentral describes it as "bacterial SSU rRNA". It matches the Rfam family "Bacterial small subunit ribosomal RNA", at positions 993 to 1428 of the family's 1533-position model. The record is from RNAcentral. Lineage: Bacteria; Pseudomonadati; Pseudomonadota; Alphaproteobacteria; Rickettsiales; Anaplasmataceae.